GCAGCAGUGGGGAAUUUUGGACAAUGGGCGCAAGCCUGAUCCAGCCAUGCCGCGUGAGUGAAGAAGGCCUUCGGGUUGUAAAGCUCUUUCAGUCGGGAAGAAAAGGCGCCCUCUAACAUAGGGCGUUGCUGACGGUACCGACAGAAGAAGCACCGGCUAACUACGUGCCAGCAGCCGCGGUAAUACGUAGGGUGCGAGCGUUAAUCGGAAUUACUGGGCGUAAAGCGUGCGCAGGCGGUUCGCUAAGACAGGUGUGAAAUCCCCGGGCUUAACCUGGGAACUGCGCUUGUGACUGGCGGGCUAGAGUACGGCAGAGGGGGGUGGAAUUCCACGUGUAGCAGUGAAAUGCGUAGAUAUGUGGAGGAACACCGAUGGCGAAGGCAGCCCCCUGGGCCUGUACUGACGCUCAUGCACGAAAGCGUGGGGAGCAAACAGGAUUAGAUACCCUGGUAGUCCACGCCCUAAACGAUGUCAACUAGUCGUUCGGAGCGGUAACGCACUGAGUGACGCAGCUAACGCGUGAAGUGA
Molecule: ribosomal RNA, 528 nt
Filed under: uncultured bacterium
Lineage: Bacteria
Description: bacterial SSU rRNA
Rfam family: Bacterial small subunit ribosomal RNA
Source: RNAcentral